RNAcentral lists this microRNA (22 nucleotides) under Pristionchus pacificus. RNAcentral's name for it is "ppc-miR-8364o-5p". The record is from miRBase by way of RNAcentral. Lineage: Eukaryota; Metazoa; Nematoda; Chromadorea; Rhabditida; Neodiplogasteridae.
CCAUUUCGCGCACUCUCUCACC